Molecule: ribosomal RNA, 443 nt
Filed under: uncultured bacterium
Lineage: Bacteria
Description: partial 16S ribosomal RNA
Rfam family: Bacterial small subunit ribosomal RNA
Source: RNAcentral
CCUACGGGUGGCAGCAGUGGGGAAUAUUGGGCAAUGGGCGCAAGCCUGACCCAGCAACGCCGCGUGAAGGAAGAAGGCUUUCGGGUUGUAAACUUCUUUUGUCAGGGACGAAGCAAGUGACGGUACCUGACGAAUAAGCCACGGCUAACUACGUGCCACCAGUCGCGGGAAUACGUAGGUGGCAAGCGUUAUCCGGAUUGACUGGGUGUAAAGGGCGUGUAGGCGGGACUGCAAGUCAGAUGUGAAAAGCACGGGCACAAACUGUGGCAAGCAUUUGAAACUGUAGGUCUUGAGUACUGGAGAGGCAGACGGAAUUCGUGGUGUAGCGGUGAAAUGCGUAGAUAUUAGGAGGAACACCGGUGGCGAAGGCGGUCUGCUGGACAGCAACUGACGCUGAGGCGCGAAAGCGUGGGGAGCGAACAGGAUUAGAUACCCGAGUAGUC